UCCACUGACUAGUGUAAGCAGCUGCCAUUGCCAAUUACAGUUGGAGAGGACCGGCGUACUGAAGGUCUAUUCUCUUCAGGCGAAUAAUUGUUCAACUAAUAAAGAGUAAUUAUUUGGGUUUACUCUUACAGAAAACCCUUUAUUACUCAACAAAAGAAAUGAAUUCAUUGUUAAAAUUUUACGACUCUCUCGUCUCAAAUCAAAGCAAUUUUGCACUUCUCAAAAUGACGAAGAAACUGUCAAAGAAAUUAAAAAAUUUCUCAACCAGGACGACUGGAAGUUUCUCAUUGAAUCACCACAGAUAUCAAAGAAGCUGAACCCAGAUGUGGUUCAGUCGAUUCUUCAGCAAAACCAGGUACAGGACCCCAAACGCCUCUUUGCUUUCUUUAACUGGGUCAAUACUAGACUGGGUACCCGCCAAAAUUUGAGUUCUUUUUCAUAUCUUGCAAUAAUAUUGUGUAAGUCGAGGCUUUUUUAUCGUGCUUUUCGUGUGAUUGUUGGAAUGAUUGGAGCCAAGCAGUCACAUUUUCAGAUUUUGGAGUCACUGCUUGGAUGUUACGAAGAAUUUAAUGAGAGAGUGAUGUAUCUGUUUUUGAAUUGUUGAUUGAUUGUUAUAAAAAGGUGGGUCUUUUGGAUGAAGCUACUAAUGUGUAUCUUGGUAUUGUUAAAGAUGGUGGGCCGGUGCUUGGUUUGGUGUGUUGUAAUUCCUUUUUGAAGGAUUUGUUGAGGGGAAAUAGAGUGGACUUAUUUUGGAGGGUGUAUUAUGCAAUGAGAGAAGCUAAGGUCACUAGUCUGAUAAAUGCUCAUUUUGUAGUUGGGAAUGUUGAGGAGGGUAAAAGGAUUCUUUUUGAAAUGGAGGAGAAAGGUUGUAGUCCAAAUUUGAUUACUUAUAAUGUGGUUAUGUAGAGUUGGGGCUAUUCAUGACGCGUUUGACCUAAAGGAGAGCAUGAUUCACAAGGGCUUGGCUCCUGAUGGAUUUACUUAUGGUAUGCUUAUCAAUGGGUUCUGUAAAAAGAAGAGAUUGGGAGAGGCAAAGUUGAUGUUGAAGGAGAUGUAUGAUAGGGAUGUAAGUCCUGACCAGGUUGUGUAUACAACCCUUGUCGAAGGUCACGUUCAGGAACACAGAUUUGAAGAGGCAAUAAAUUUGCUGAAGGUAAUGCCCGAGAAAGGUGUUUUACCCUAUGUCUUUUGCUACAAUUCUCUUAUGAUUGGCCUCUGCUGGGCCAAAAAGAUGGAAGAUGCCAGGAGUUACUUAGCUGAAAUGAUUGCAAGGGGAUUGAAGCUCAAUGUCUAUACUUAUGGGGCUCUAAUUCAUGAAUAUAUCAAGGCAGGUGACAUGCAAGCUGCAGACAGGUAUUUCCAAGAGAUGCUUGGCUGCGGCAUAGCUUCAAAUGAUAUCAUUUAUACAAAUCUGAUAGAUGGACACUGCAAAGAGGGCAACAUAAAGGAAGCCUUUUCAAUGUUUAGAUGCAUGCUUGGACGAGGGUGAUCCUAGAUGAAAAGACUUACAGUGUCCUCAUUCAUGGUCUCUUCAAGAGUGGAAAAAUUCAUGAAGCAGUGGGGGUACUCUCUGAACUUGGUGACAAAGGUCUGGUGCCUGAUGUUUUUACUUAUGGCUCCCUCAUUUCUGGCUUUUGUAAGCAAGGUGAUAUGCUGGAGGCUUUCCAACUUUUUGAAGAGAUGUGUGGGAAGGGUAUUUCUCCAAAUAUUGUUUCUUAUAUAAUGUCAUGAUCAAUGGCUUAUGUAGGUUGGGUGAAAUCGAGAGAACUAGGGAGCUAUUUGAUGGAAUCUUUGGCAAGGGUUUAGCUCCUAAUGGUGUGACUUAUACUACAAUUAUAGAUGGAUAUUGCAAAUCUGGUAAUUUAACUGAGGCAUUUCAGUUAUUGGAUCAGACGUCAUCAAGAGGGGUUCCUUCUGAUAGUUUUGCUUGCUGUGCCCUAGUUGAUGGCUGCUGCAAACAACGAAAUACAGAGAAGGCUCUGUCCUUGUUUCUAGAAAUGAUUCAGAAGGGCUUUGCUUCCACUUCUUCAUUCAAUGCUUUGAUUGAUGGUUGAUGCAAGUCAGGGAAAAUUAAGGUAGUUAAUUGGCUGUUGGAAGACAUGAUUGACAAGCAUAUCACACCAAAUCAUGUGACCUACACAAUUCUAAUUGAUUAUUGCUGCAAGGCAGGAACAAUGAAGGAGGUGGAGCACCUCUUACCGGUGAUGACAAAAAGGAAUUUGAUGCCUAAUGUUUUAACUUACACUUCACUUUUACAUGGUUAUGAAAGAAUAGGAAGCAGAUCUGAGAUGUUCACUCUUUUUGAUGAGAUGGUGGAGAGAGGAAUUGAGCCUGAUGGAGUAAUCUACAGCAUGAUGCUUGAUGCUUGCUUAAAAAAAGUAAUUGAGUGAAAAAAAUUAAGUUGGUGGAUGAAAUAUUUGCUAAGGGUGUGGCACAAACCAAUACUUAUAUGGUUCACUAAUAAACACCCUAUCCAAAGAGGAAGAAUUUUAUGAACUGUUGAAAUUACUUGAUGAAAUGAGAGAGCAAGAAGUUAAGCUUAAUCUUCCUACAUGUUGCCCUCUCAUCCAUGGUUUUUUUGAAGCAGGAAAUACGGAAAAAGCAGCCACACUUCUGGAGAAGAUGGUCCACACUGGAUGGGUUCCAGACUCCCCUGUUAUAACUGAUUUUGUUAAAGAAGCGCAAAAUGAUACAAACUCUGAGAGUGAUAUUAAUUUCUUAAAGCAAGCAGCAGUUGUACGUGUGCAUCCAGUGUAAACUUAUGUGCUGGAGAAGAGAGCCGGAAUUUCCAUCCUUUCAACUAUUCCUUCUGUACUUAAUGAAAUAGAACAGGGUAGCUGACCCCAUCAAAUACAGGAAACUAACUCCAUGUUGGCCAUUGGCAUAGCAAAAUAUGGUGGCAGCCAAAAUAGAUCAAGUUCACUGUGUAAUACCCUUUGUCAUCGAAUCAUGGUGAAAAAUUUCUAAACUAGGGUUCCAAAUUCUAAAGGUGGAUAUGAGAAAAGAUGACAUAUGAUUAUUUCUGGUGAUGACAGGGGCAUGGAGUAAGGGCGGUGGUGAAUGGUGAUUGUGAGGAGGACAGUGGUGAAGGCAGAUGGGACUAAUAUUCAACUAAAGUUGUAGGGAAUGAUGCAAGUAAAAUGAGGGGUAUGACUAAUUUAAUCUAUCUUGUCUUCCACCAUCAUUGGAGUGGCUUAGCUGAGGAACCUGUGUGUAGCAAGAUGAUCAGUUCCAGAGAGAAGAGAAAGUGGUAAAUCCUUCUCUGAUUGGUUACCAAGGAAUUGGUCGGUCUCCAAUAUCCCAGGGUGACCCCUUCCGUGCUUCUUUCUUUGUGUAACCCUUCCAUCCUUUGUAGAAAUAAAGAUCCCAUUCAUUAUUUAUAUGUUCAACACAUAUCCAUAUGAAUUUAAUUUCUACAUACUGGGCACAAUUAGAAUCACUUUUAUUCCCCAGCUUUAUAUGUGAUAGACAAUUUACAACAGUUUAUAUAUUAAGCGUCAGCCUUACAGCCUUACAAACUAAUUUUCCCUUAUUAAUUAAACAUCUUUCUUGAGAAGGUUUAAGAAAUCAAAGAUUAACAUAGUGUACUUGAUCUGCAGAUGAUAUUAGUUUUAAUUUUUUGAGCAUAUGAUUUGUGCGUUGAAAGUUGAGCAUAAUACAUUUUCCUGCUGGCAUAAUUUUGGUAAAUUUCCUCUUUUAACUGUCAUGGAAUUUCUGAGUUCUUAUGUACAGGGACCUAAAUCCUAAUGAAGGAAAAAUAACAACUAUUGAAGACGCAAAAAAGCACCUGCAACAGAGCCCUCAGCACAAAUGAUAUUUUUGCCUUUUUGAUAGAAGUCCUCUCAACUGCAUGACUAAUUUACACGUAUUUGGAUGCUAGCUGCAGUGGAGUACUACCAUCUCUAUCAACAGCUUGCGGGUCAGCUCCCCUGUAAUAACAUUGCUAAAUCUGAGUGACAUUUUCCCACAUUGGAAAAAAAAAAAAAUAGCAGUAAUAGAAGGGGAGAAAUCACCUUGCAAGCAGCAGUUUUGCAAUUGAAGUUCUCCCACUAAUUACAGAAUGAUGCAGUGGCGUCUUGCCACUUGAAUCGGGAGCAUUUACGUUUGCACCAUACUGUAGGAGAAGUUCCA
Molecule: long non-coding RNA, 4131 nt
Organism: Mangifera indica (mango)
Lineage: Eukaryota; Viridiplantae; Streptophyta; Magnoliopsida; Sapindales; Anacardiaceae
Exons: 4
Source: RefSeq, a predicted model, not a curated record